UACCAGCUCUCCGAGUAGUGUGGAUGUUUAUUGGGCCUAAAGCAUCCGUAGCUUGCUAAGCAAGUCCCCUGUUAAAUCCACCGAUUUAAUCGUUGGAUUGCGGGGGAUACUGUUUGGCUAGGGGACGGGAGAGGCCGACGGUAUUUCCGGGGUAGGGGUGAAAUCCUAUAAUCCCGGGAAGACCACCAGUGGCGAAGGCUGUCGGCUAGGACGCGCCCGACGGUGAGGGAUGAAAGCUGGGGGAGCGAACCGGAUUAGAUACCCGGGUAGUCCCAGCUGUAAACGAUGCAGGCUAGGUGUUUGGGCGGCCACGAGCCGCCCUAGUGCCGCAGGGAAGCUGUUAAGCCUGCCGCCUGGGGAGUACGGCCGCAAGGCUGAAACUUAAAGGAAUUGGCGGGGGAGCACCACAAGGGGUGAAGCUUGCGGUUU
RNAcentral lists this ribosomal RNA (429 nucleotides) under uncultured archaeon. RNAcentral's name for it is "bacterial SSU rRNA". It matches the Rfam family "Archaeal small subunit ribosomal RNA", at positions 474 to 903 of the family's 1478-position model. The record is from RNAcentral.